RNAcentral lists this ribosomal RNA (395 nucleotides) under uncultured bacterium. RNAcentral describes it as "partial 16S ribosomal RNA". It matches the Rfam family "Bacterial small subunit ribosomal RNA", at positions 523 to 918 of the family's 1533-position model. The record is from RNAcentral.
AUACGUAGGGUGCAAGCGUUAAUCGGAAUUACUGGGCGUAAAGCGUGCGCAGGCGGUUUUGUAAGACAGAGGGGAAAUCCCCGGGCUCAACCUGGGAACUGCCUUUGUGACUGCAAGGCUCGAGUACGGCAGAGGGGGAUGGAAUUCCGCGUGUAGCAGGGAAAUGCGUAGAUAUGCGGGGGAACACCGAUGGCGAAGGCAAUCCCCUGGGCCUGUACUGACGCUCAUGCACGAAAGCGUGGGGAGCAAACAGGAUUAGAUACCCUGGUAGUCCACGCCCUAAACGAUGUCAACUGGUUGUUGGGUCUUUAUUGACUCAGUAACGAAGCUAACGCGUGAAGUUGACCGCCUGGGGAGUACGGCCGCAAGGUUGAAACUCAAAUGAAUUGACGGGG